GUUACGUGCUCUUGAUCGAGUUUAUGAUCAGCCAGUAUAUAUUGAUCGAGUAACAUCAAGAUCGAUACUGAGCUAAAACAGUAUUCAAUUCUUCAAGUCUUUAAUAUUAAUUCAAAAGAUGAAUGUUUAAUCACCAAAUUAAGACUCUUUUUGAGAGAGUCUUGAUUAAGACCGAGUUCGGUUGUUCUGCAUAUUCCUCAUCAUUUUAGUUGACCCGAAUAUAUAUGAGUUUAAUUAACAGAUCGAGAGAUGCAUAUAAUUAAGCAAAGUCUGAGUUUAAAACUGGCCUCGAUCGCUCUCUGGGUUCCAAACUUUCAAUGGUUGCGGCCGAUAGUGCUUCAUAUAUGUAAGGAAGCCGUUGAACACGUUACGAACUCUGAUCAGUCAACCGGGUCAAUCUCCUAAUUCAAUCACAAAUAGACAUAUAUAUUUUAUACAGCGUAACCACGUUUCAUUACCAUUCUGUAUCUAAUAUCUAUAUUUGUAUGUCAACCUCACAAACAAAGCAGCAGCCUACGUACACGACUCCGCCUUUUCUUCUCUCUUUUUUUUUUUUUUUUGAGGAAGACGACUUAAGUAAACGUACACAGGGUUUUUUUUUUUGUUUCCGAUGAGCUCUUACAAGUAUACUAAAUAGAUGUGAUUGUUCGAAUUUGAAGAAGACGUACGUGGUCCGAUCCAACAUGCAUAAUGCAUUAGUAAACUAGUUUAUUAUCAAGAACAUAUAUAGCCGAAUACUUGCUUUAACUACGUAGUCUUAAACCCUUUACAUAUGUCAUAUAUUGUUCCUUCAAUUAAGGUAAUAUACCAUGCAGAUUAUGACACGACCCACCCCGAAUUUCACCCUGAAACCCAGAGUAAGUCGUGCGGGGACCACCUCCAAGGAAAAUUUACUGAAAAGAUUAAGAAAAUCUCCCUUGCAGAUGGACAACCCUAACUCGAAAAUUUCAUAUUACACUCUUAAUUCAACACUUCUGAACAUCACAUAAUAUACAAAAAUUUUAAAGUAUUCAGAGCUACUAAACACAAACGGAAGCAAAAAAACACGAGUAGGUUGAACAGGUAACCUACUGGCGAAAACUGGCAGAAAUGCGGGUGACUAUGCCUCGUCUCCUACUAGAUCCCACCCGAACUCUGCAGACUGGGCAAUUUAAAACGAAUGGCCCAGGGGAAAACAUUUAAUAACGUUAGAGUGAGUGGACAAAAAUAAAAUAAUAAAUAAAAUAUUUAUGUUUCCCCAAAUUAAUUUCUAAGAAAAAAUCGAAUGCAUGCCGCAAGCGAUAAAACUUUUAUCCCAUAAAAUAUCGAGCCUCUCAGACUCUAUAAUAUAUGUAUGUAUUUACACUCGUCCAUACUCCCUAUAUAAAUUCAUGGGUCUAUAUAGGGCUACUACGCUCGCGUCCAACGCUCACGUCACGCCUUAAUGCAGUGCUACACUACGCCAUCAAGGUGGACAGACGGGUGUAUAAAUAUGUGCCCAUACCCCCUAUAUGAAUUAAACACUCAUAUAGGGCUACUACGCUUACGUCCAACGCUCACGUCACACCAUAAUGCGGCUAUAUGCUACGCCAUUAAGGUGGACAGACACAUAUGGCUAGCUAGCAUUUUCUAUACAUACUCUCUCAUAUAUACAUAUUUAUAUUCACCGAAAAUCCCAUUUUCGGUAACUCUCUCUCAGAGAAAUAAAAGCGUCAAAAUUAAUUGACGGCAAAACUCUAACAAAAGGAAAUGUUCAAUCAUGAACCAUAGCAUGCAUAUUAUUUCAAAUAAAAGUCCACUCACAAAUUAGGCCUAAUCCUGAUGUCGAUCUGGGGUCUCGUCUGCUCGAGCCUCCUCACGUCCUGUUCCAAAUAUAAUAUUAAUUUCCCAACCAAUAAUCCAAUAUUUAAUCAAAAUAGGCAAAAUUACCCGAGAGCCAUAAAUACGCUCAUCAUUGCCUAACUUCGAUAUUCUUAAAUCGGAACGAUCCGAACUUAAAUAUCAUACUCGACAGUCGUAAAUACAACCUCUCCAAAAUACGACUUAAAUCCUACGGCCGGAUUCUACAUUAAUUACCCGCCAAAAAUACCACACUUCAGAAAUUCACAAACCUAUCCAAAUCUCAUCCAAAAAUUCCAAAAUUCACUUCAAUAAUAUCUCCUUAAUAUUCUACAUCAAAAACCAGACAAUUUCCCAAAACAGCGGCGGCGGCCGGCGACCAACUCCGGCGACCUGCAAAUGCUACCAAAUUUUAACAGAAUCUUCCUCUCAAUCUCCUCUACAACUUUCAUGACUAACACAUCACCCAAUUCUAAGCCUAACUAGGCUAAUCGAACGAAAACAACUUAAACACCAUAAAACUUCCACCUCAAAUUCCUCCUUACCUAGCUCAAGAGGGAGUGAGUCCUUUUAGGGCAAGGCUGCUGGGUUGGAGGGCUACAAAACCAUACCAAGCUUGCUCGGAUUGGUGGCCGGAGGAGGAAGUUCCGGCGACGUGAUCCCUAACACAGUCGGACCUCUCGGGCCAGAUAUCUCCCUCACGGCGGCGCUAGGGGAGCUGUCACCGGUCCAAGAAGGUUGCUGGGUUGAAGACCGAUCGAUUGGGACCGGUGCGGCGGUCUGGGGCGGCCGGACGGCGGCGGUCUGGCGGUCGGAAAACGGGACAGCGGGAGGGCUCGGGUGCGGGAGCGGGUGAGGAGAGAAAAUCGGGAGGAAAAGAAUGGGCUUGGGCCUCACACCCCAAACCGGUCCAACACUUAUAAACUAUCCAAAUUCUAAAAUUAAACACCCCGAAAAAUAAUACCCGAAUAAAAAUUACCUUUUACUAGCUAAAAUUUACCAUUUUUACCGUCGUCGUAUUUUCCUCAUACGAAUAAUCCUCUGCACAUAAUCGUCCCCGAAACCCCUCUAGGGACCAAUUAAACUAUUUACUCAAUGAUCGAGACGGUAAAAUUCUUAUUAUAAUCACGCUAGUAAAUAAGGUAAAAAUAUAAGGGUCGGGAUGUGACAGAUUAUAUUCUUGAUAUCCUUGUUAUGUGACAAAUAAUUUGUUCUAUUAUUGCUCUAAAGGAGAAUGAGAGGUUAAUUAUCUGUUAAUUAAGAAUAUAUAUUGUCAUUCUAAAGUUUACACUUGUUCAACUGAAUUUCUAUUAUAGCGCACAUUCAUUAACUCUCAUGUGAUUCCGACUUUUUUUUUUUUAGUACAGAGGAUCAGCCAAAACGGCUCACCCUGUAAUAAAUUUUAUUUUAAAGAGAAAAAAAAAGAAGCACAAUAGCAAUGAGAGGACAUAAAACCAAGCUCCUCAAAAGAACCACAUGAAAGAACAGGGUUCUGUGUCUGUUGAAGACGACGUACUGCGCGCAACAUAUUAGAACGAUUUUGUUUUUUGAUUUUUGAAUUUCAAAGGAUUAGAAAGAUAAAUGAGAGUUUUAAAAAAUAAAAAAUCAAAUCAGGAAAAAUGAAAAAAUAAUUUCGUAAUUAAUAGAAAACAUUAAUAUAUAUAUAAAUACUAGAAAACACACUUUGAUGAUGUGUGUAUGUCACGUCGUGUGCCACAUAAGAUAUGCUCUAGGUGGUUCACGUAGCAUUACUCAUUAAGAUUAGAGCGCACCCAUAUGAUAAUAAUACCUCUGUAAUCUCUAAAUAUUGCUCCAUAACCUGCACGAUCAGAAAAGGCAAAGUUGACUUUAACUUAAUCAACCUACGAAUAUUAAUUAGUUUAGAUCAUUAAUCGCAUUUUCCACUCACAGUCAUCUCUGCGGUGCAUGGAAAUUUGUUAUCAGUUGCAGGAGUUGCUCCAUGAUCAAUGAGUUCCACAUUAUCGCUAUCUAGCUAGGGCAUAUUUCAGUCCCCCGACUACAAGGAUGACAUUAUUCACGAAUCUUACUCAAACAGGCCACUAGGUUUUUCUGCUUAUCGGGCCAAAGAUCGGAAUAUUUUUUUUCAGCGGAAUAUGAAAGCAUAUAAAAGGUAACAAUAAUCAUAAUUACCGAAAUAUUGUAAACCACGUUAGAACUCAAAACCAUAAAAAACCCUAAGGAGCGGCGGCUUCAAGAAUUCGGAACAACCUCGUCCGACCGCAGCCGUGGUCUAGGCUGGUCCAUUUGGCCACGCCGACGAGAGUAUAGCAUUCGUUCUAGUACGCGGUCUACCCAUUCAGCUAAACAUUAGUGUUUCAUAAAUCCAAUCUUUUCAGAUUGCAUGAAAUUGAGAUAUAUAACUUCCAAUAAAUUAAACGGCAUAAUUGUCAAUUUAUCAUCAUAUUAAUGUACUAAUCAUAUGAUCCAAGUACAAAUGCACAAGAUAUAUAUAGUUCACAUCAUCAUUUCGUAGGAUUAAUAUGUCUGAACCAAAAAAAAAGUUUCUCAGAAAUUAAAUUUGUAAUGCUAUUCACUACGUCAUAGCUAGAAUCACCCGUACAGUUGAUGACUUCAUCUAUCAGUCGCUAUUAAGCUGUUGUUGCAAGAACCAUAUAUUCUCUUCAUUCCAUAAAUUAUCCACCGAGUCAUCCCCACCAGGAGUUGACCAACUGUUGCUGCUUUCUAUUUGCUCGGAACCUUGAAAAUCCGAAUCAUCUAAUUGGUAACAACCGGACCCGUAAUUUGUUGAAGAAUAGUAUUGCCCGUUCGUUGGAUAAUAGUUGAUGAGCUCACUGAACUCAGUUCUGGUAGGCUCUCCAAUAUAAUUCAAACAAUCUUGAAGUCCCGUUGAACCGGACGAAGUUGCAGACGUCUCGGGCAGGUAGUGAGUAGACCCAGCAGCCGCCGUGUUACUUUGGUCAGAGAGGCUGUAGUCAUCUGUUGGUGUAAAUGAGGUGGCGGUGGCGGUUGCGGUUGCGGUGGUUUGACCCGAUAACAAAGUCGUAGAAUCGGGUGAAGCCCGGAUCCUUUCCAUUAAGCGUGGAAUCCACACGUAACGCAUGGCGUCCUGGAAUUGUUUGCUGUUAACGUCACAAUUGAGAUGCUUUGCUUGCUUUUGGACUCUUGUUCUCCAGUAGUUCUUGAUCUCAUUGUCUGUUCUUCCCGGCAAGUAUUCCGCUAUCUUCGACCACCUGAACCAUAAAUUCCAUCAGCUUUCAAAUUAACUGUACGUAAAUUCUAACCAAGUAUUAAAAAAAAAAAAGAGACUUUAAUCCCAUCCCAACUGUGUAAGACAGUAAGAGNNNNNNNNNNNNNNNNNNNNNNNNNNNNNNNNNNNNNNNNNNNNNNNNNNNNNNNNNNNNNNNNNNNNNNNNNNNNNNNNNNNNNNNNNNNNNNNNNNNNNNNNNNNNNNNNNNNNNNNNNNNNNNNNNNNNNNNNNNNNNNNNNNNNNNNNNNNNNNNNNNNNNNNNNNNNNNNNNNNNNNNNNNNNNNNNNNNNNNNNNNNNNNNNNNNNNNNNNNNNNNNNNNNNNNNNNNNNNNNNNNNNNNNNNNNNNNNNNNNNNNNNNNNNNNNNNNNNNNNNNNNNNNNNNNNNNNNNNNNNNNNNNNNNGAGAGAGAGAGAGAGAUAUGGAGCUGUGAAUUGUAUUAGGAAUCUAGCUAUAAUCAGGAGAAUGGAUCGGAUUAGAUGAGAAUUGAACGAGGGGGGUUAUAUAAAUUAAGCUGGUAAGAAUAAAACGGUGAGCGUGUGAUGGAACGCAGUCAAGACUAAUCUUGGAUCAAAAGUAGUUUAAUAAAGAAUUAGUGCUAAGAAUUCUACUGGUGAUACAUAAUCAAUAUAUUUUUUACUUUGGAAUUUGACCAUUUGACCUAUCCACCAAGAAACAUAGCGUCUCACGCGCACAGACUAGCUUCUAAUAGAUCGACUAAUACAAUUUACUUGAAUAUUAAACUACAAAUUAAAAUAAUGCAGAGCGGAGUGUUUUAAUUUCUUUAUUAGUUAUAUUCGAUUAUGCUCAUGUUUCAACUUUGAAGACGAAGAUCGAUCUCACUAUAUAUGUACAUAUUUUACACCAUAGCCUUGUGAGAGAUUUGGAAGUAUAUAAUACUAACAAAAUUUGACCUACCAAUUAACCUCUUGUUCUCCAAAGAUCUGGACCAUAUAUAUGCAUGCAUGGUUUGGAAAAUCAACAGCAUUUCUUAUCUCCAUUAAUCUUUUUACUGUUCGAUCAUGGCUGGUGUGAGGUGACUAUAUUGAUAGGAAUUUACCAUUGUUGACGAAAAGGCUGGUGUGCGCACCUACUUAAUUAACGAUCAAAUUAAUCUUGUGCAGAGGAAAGCCAUGCCAGGCUCAUGGUCUUUUUAAUUUGUUAAGUCGGUGGGGCCUUGAUGAAAAUUCACUGCCCUACCGACCUAACAAAUCAUUUUUAUCUUGAUCGAGGAAAGCUGGCUAUAUUGGCUGACUAUUAAGAAAUAUGGAGAAUUCACUACAACAAUAUGGAGCAAAGGCCACACAAGUUAUAUGGCUUUUAAAAUUGUUGCAUUUUCCUAUAAGUGUAGCGAGUGAGGACAGUGACAAAACUAUAUUACGGCCCGGGAGGGUCCGGGACCCCGGUUGGGUUUUUUAAUUGUCUUAAUUAAUUACCUUUAAUUGGGUAGCUUGGUUAUAGCAAAUUUACCCUUAAUUUUGUUAAUGAAUCCCCCUAUAUUAUAGCCAAAUCUGAUUUCGUUCAAAUAUUAGCAUUUAUCAGUUAAAACUUAAACAUUUGAUAGGUUUAUUUUUGUGUUAUCUAAUCAUAAUAUCAUAUCUGUUACAUUUAUUUUCCAUUUAGCUAGUAUUCUUAAUAAGAUUCAAUGCAUUUAUCUUCUUUUUCAUGGUAAAUUUACGGGGAAAAAAUAUUUGUUCUUGAGCUUUUUACUUGGAACCCCUCCCCUCCCCAACCUUGAAAUCGAUCCUGGUUCCGCUACUUAGUUAAGAUAUUAAUGGAGUAUGAAGGGGAAAUAUACCAUACAUGUGUGAAUUGUAACACCUCUAAAGGCCACAUUUGCUCUAUAUUAUUGUAGUGAUUGGAACCUUUUUUUUAUUAUUAUUAUUUAAAAUCGCAGUAUCUCAAAGGCUUCCUAGACUCUAAAACUAAUCCGAUAGGAGUCCGGAAGCCAGCAAGGCAUUGCAGCCGCUCCCCUUGCCACUUUUGACAAUGUCGUGGUGAAAAUGUGUGUUAAAAAUGCACUAGAAUUUCACUGUACGUGAUCCUAAACACAAUUUUUAGACACAAACAUAAAACAUGCAUUGUUAUUUAAUUAGAACAUUAUAUUGCAAUUAGAAUAGUAAUUGGACGAAUAGUAAAAUAAAAACAUUGUUGUGCACUUCUGCUGUGAAUAUUUACGUAUACGCUUUGCGUGCAUUCUCGAAUUUGCGCCCAAGAGGACAGAAAAUAUUGAGCUCUUAAAGGUAAAUUAAUCCCAUACAGAGACAUGAAGUUUAUAUUCCAACUCCUUUAUCUCUAAUGGGAUACUGUAGGGAAGAAAUACCAACAAAGACCAGGACAGUUAGAUUCUGAUCUUUAUCAAAUUAACCAGUUAUUUUAUAGGAAAAAUUUGAGACCCAAAUUCUCAUAAUAAGGAGAAGAAGAAAAGGAAAGUGAAGUCAAAAGUUUGUAAUUGAUGGAUUAAGUGGAAUUGUACCCACAAAAGUGAAGCAUAUAAGGAUAGGAAUCCGUAGUGGCAAUAAUAUUACAAAAGCUCAAUUACUUUAUCGAUGGAAUAUAUCGAGUAAUAUAGCAGUGUUUGAGGUUCAUGGCUUUCAAUUUCUAUGAAACCUGAUGGUGCACAUGCACUUGCUCGCACUUGCGUACUUUCUGGAACAUUAUCUUGGAAGAUGAUGUAGCUGGGUCCCAUCGAUCAGUCCCAUGUUUAUCUUGAAGCAAACAAAGAAUCAGUUUAUCGAGCUCGUUCAAAACACUGGCUUUAAGCCUUUAAUAGAUCAUGACAUCAUAAGGAUACUGAGAACAUAAGGUUUAGCUGACCGUAUAUAUAUUUUGUGAAAGUUAUAGCAGAUGCAUGCAUUUACUGUUUUAGUUCCCACGACAGUAGUGCAGCUGGGAGACCAAACAUAUUGAAGCAUGUAUCCAAUUCGUUGUUGGAAUUUGGUUAUGCAGAACGUACCUCUCCGCAACUGCAGCUAGUUAACACUUCACACCGGCCGGCCAACAAAUAUUUUACGUCUCCGCAACUGCAGUUAGUUAAUACUCAUUGACAUACAUGUCGGUAAACUGUGGCUUGGUUGGUUCGUUAGCUUAAUUAACAAUGUUGAUGUUAUGAGUUCAAAUUAACCUCUUACUAAUCAUCUUAUAUUGAAAAGGGAAAAUGCCCAUUUAGUACUAAUUCAAACCCCUUGUUUCUCAUUCCAAUGAUAAUCUUUUGCAUUAGCCCAUUCUAAUACAAGGUAACCAUUUUUAUGCCCAAAUGCACAAAUCUUUAUGCCCAAAUGCACAAAUCUUUACUAAAGUCUUAACAAACCAUAUUAUUUUAAGACUAUUUUGCCCCCACCUCUUCAACAUGAAAAGACUUGGCCGGAACCUCGGACUCCGGUAACCGGCCGCCGGACACCGGACUCCGGUCACCGGAUUUUCCCCGACAGCCGGAUUCCGGUCACCGGAUUUUCCUCUGUAACCAAUUACUGACCCCCAAUAAUCAGUUACUGACCCAUAAUAACCAGUUACUAACCCCCAGUAACCAGUUAUUGAUUAAUUACUGACACCCGGUAACCAGUUACUGACCCCCCAAUAACUUUUAGUUUUUAGUUACUGACACCCAGUAAUCACUUAGUUUUCAGUUACUGACACCCAGUAAUCACUUAGUUUUCAGUUACUGACCCCUAAUAAUUUUGGUUACUGACCGGAGAGGAGAGAACUGAGGAACCGGCCCGACGGUGAGCACCCACAUUUCUUCUCUGGGCACCCACCUUCCCCGACGGUGAGCACACCGGCCUCCUCCACCGACCCCGGCGCACGCCGGCAAGCAACGCCCUUCUAGGGGAGUAGGAGAAGCGGUGAGGCAGCUUAGAGCCGGUUUCCGGGGCUGUGCGGUUGCGGGUGAUUUUGCGGUGGUGGCGGCACCGGCGAAUGGGACGACGAGGUUGGGCUGCGGCAGAAGAGACGACGGUGACCGCGCCGGGGAUCGGGUGAUUGGGCGCUGCAGAAGGUGGAUCGAGAAGAGAAGGUGGUCAGAGUUACGGAAGCAGACAAGGAGGAAGAAGAGGAGGGAGAAGGCGGUGGUGGCAGCGCCGGCGAGUGGGACGACGAGGUUGGGCUGCGGCAGAAGAGACGACGGAGACGGCGCCGGGGACCGGGUGAUUAGGCGCGGUAGAAGGUGGAUCGGGAAGAGAAGGUGGUCGGAGGAGAUGAAGUAGCGGUGCUUGUGUGGGCAGCUAGCGUCGGAGGAGGAGGAGGAGGAGGAGAGAGAGAGAGAGAGAGAGAGAGAGAGAGAGAGAGAGAGAGAGAGAAGAAGAAAGAAGAAGAAGAAGAAGAAGAAGAAGAAGAAAGAGAUAAAAACUGUGUGAAUUUAAUUAAACACAGGGUAAUAACGUCUUUUUUUCAAGAAUCAUUGGAAUGGGCACAAGGAUAAGACUUUAAUUGGAAUGGGCUUUAGUUUUCAAAUAUUUGGGCAUUAGGGCAUUUUCCCUAUUGAAAACUUGAUACAAAUCCCUUAAAAAGUUACUUAUCCAUAUGAAAUGUUAAUCAGUUGUAUCCUAGAGCAAAAACAAUAUUAACCGCAACCAUAAAUUUUUUAACGAUUGAUUCCAUCUAGGGUGCUUGUAAAUAUACCUAGAAACUUUGAAAUGCACCUAGAAAUUAAGUAUUUUCCACAUUUACCCUCGAUUCUAAUAUUAUACAAACCCAAAGACAUAUCUCUAUUAAACUCUCUCUGUCGUGGCUAGGUUAGGGUUUUUGUAGAGUAAUCGGUUGUGCGGCAUCGAAAACUCCAUGGCAGACGCAAUUGCAACAAUGACCGCUGAGAUAUUACCUGGUGACUUGCAAAAGGGUUUGUGGCUCUAAGAUAUUACCUGGUAGGCCGCUUCUACACUGCCAGAGAAGUGCUUUUUGAUCCUUUUCACAAUGCAAUGCACUCUAUGUGGUGGCUACCAACCCCGUACAGGCCCAUACCUGAGAUUUUCAUACCUGAGUCGAACUUUCAAAAUUUGGCGCUUAAAGUAUAGUAUUCAUUCAAUUUUAUUUUCUCUUUUCAAGAAACACACAAAAUUUUCACGAACUAAAGUUAUAAACUCAAAAUCUAACAACAAAAAACAUUAGAAAUCCUAUUAAAAAUCUUAUUUAUACAAAAAAUUUCUUACUUAGGCUGCUCAUUUUUUCUAAAAUAGUAAUUAAUGAUAGUAAUAUAACAGGUAAAAUUUAAUAUUCAUUUUUCUCUUUUGUAAUCUAACACCACCUAAUUGGAUGUUGUUAAGUAUUUUUGAUUGUUUUUAACUAAACUACAAAAGAAAAUUUUGGGCCCCUUAAGGUUUUGGGCCCUGAGUUCAUCGACUCUUAGGACUUUAUUCAGGUACGGGUCUGCCCCUGUGGAGGUCUAGGGCAAAGACGACCGACUCCUCUACACAUUUACGAGAGUGAGAGGGAUGUGAAUCUUGUAAAAAGGGGAGGACCUUGGUGCUAUAUAUCAACGUGCCAUGAUCAUGUUGAAUGACUAUGAUAGGUUUUCUAACAUCAUGGUUGUUUCGCUAAAUUUUGUGUGAAUUUAGGUUGAGAUCCAUGGCCUUCUGGCUGUGCUUACUAUGGUGGAACCGGCAAGUUGGUGGGCAAGACCAUUGGACCUGUCUUGAGGGUUGAUGAGGCGAGUACAAAUCGUGAAGUUGUGCGCGUUCAUGCCACCCUUCCCCUGAACAAUCAUGUGUGUCUGGAUAAUUGAUGUUAUUUAAGAGUUCAAGUAUGAACGACUUCUAUAGGAGGUGCAGAGAUUGCAUAAUGAUUAACGAUGGGGGACUUCGCUCUGUCUGCUACGCCUCCAAUGGUGUUUCGAGGGUCUGUGUCUACCUCAGCUACACUCUUUGUGCCAACAGUGUCCCUCUCCAAAGAGAAGAAUGCAACAACUAUUAGAGAAGUACUUGAAUUCCCUUCCCCCACCAAAAUUAUUGGGGUACGUCGUGGAAGAGAAGUUGAAGAAUCUGGUGAUGGUAGAAGACCAAAACACUCCCUGGCAUUAGUUCCCAUGCCACUAAACCCAGAGGAGAUGGGUUUCUUUGUUACUGAAUCAAGGGUACUUGGUAUCAAGAAGACAGGUAAGUCACCUAAGAAAAGAGGACAUCCCCGCAACAGCCGUAAUAAGAAGAUGUUUGGUGAAGCUUCUGAUGCCUCUGAUUUUAAUGGCAUCUAACUUGUCUGGUUCUACAAUGGUUAAGAAUAUCGGCCUCGUCUCUGAGGUUGAGGAGGAAUAGUUUCCCUAGUGCUACUAGCUAGGAAAGAUUCCUUUCAAAACCCAUGCAACUACUCUCUCUCUCUCUCUCUCUCUCUCUCUUCUCAUCGAUAAAAGGUACACCACUUGAGGUCUUAGGCCUCAUUCGUUGAGGGUAGAGUGGUUAAUAGGUGUUUGGAAAGUUAUUUGCUAUUUUUAGUGAGACAUAUCCACCUUUUUGUAUGUAGUUUUGAGAUUGUUUUUCAAUUCUUAGAAAUAGUUUGAUUUAGCUUUGUUAUGUGCUUGUAUGGUCUUUGGACUGUUCAUGCUUGAUCUUUUGGUCAUCAUGAUCUUUGAUCAACGGAUUUAUCUCAUUCCUAAUAGAAAAAAAAAAAAAUCAUUAUCUAUUAACAGUUUAAGCUCCGAGAAUAAAUCAAUGUAGAGGAUAAUCUUGGUCGGUUUGUUGUUAUUGUGGUGAUUGUUCAUUUGUGUCAGAGUAAUUGGGUUGUCCUAUUCAUCCCACAUCAUGGUUGAUUGGGGAUGAUUUUAGUGGGUUUGAGUGAAUUGAAGUGAAGAGAUAAAUAUGAUAAUUUACUAGGGCUGGCAACAGAUUCUUCAUCUUAGUCGCAAUUUUAUCAUAUUUAUCUCUUCACUUCAGUUCACUGAGACCCAUUAAAAAUCAUCCCUAAUCAAUCAUGAUGUGGGAUGAUCAACCCAUUAAGAAUUAGUUUAUGAAGCUAGCAUAUUACUGUGUUUAUGUGUCAAGAUAUUAGUUUAGUGUAGAAUGCCAUAUUUAGCCUAAGCCUACCCAAUUUUCAGCGAAUGGUAGUUUUAUUGUUCUUAAAACUACUAAACUCUCUAAUCCUUCACGGCUUCACCUAUUGAUGACUAAUAAACAAUUUCGUAACCACCAAAAGUGUUCGGUUAGUAAGAGCCUAGAUAUGUAAAUCCUCAUAUUCGAAACAUGCCGACGUUGGUUGAAGUCUCAAUAUAUUCUUGGUGGCUAGGAAGAAGAAAGCAUUUUGGCAUGAUCUCUCGGUAUAGAUUAGUUUUUAGGUAAAGAAACGUGAUCUUGAUUAAAAAUAAAAAAAUAUAGAAAAAAAGAUUUUCUGUUGAAGGAAAAAUACCGUAAGUGUGCAUUCGUCAAAGUAACUGACGAAAGUAAAUUAGUAAGUUAUUAAUCAAUAGAUGUAACCGCUCAAUUAGCCAUAUCAGUUAUUAUGUACGUUGUUAUUAACAUUGAAUAUCACCAUUAUAUGUAUAAUUACGUUUGUAAUCGACCUCGAGGAAUGUUAAUGAAGUGAGUAGGCCAUUCCGAUUGUAUUUUUACUUUUACAUUUUCGUAAUUGUAUCCAAUAAUUCAAAUUGAAAAUCCAAAAUUAUGGCUUGGGCUUAAGACGUAAUUGAGGCCCAUGUCUAAUUGUUCAAAUCAGACUGCAGCUCCGUGAUCGAGAUUUUGUGGUGUCAGACUCUCAAGUUUUGAAUGGUCAGCUCCCUUCCUGCUUUGUAACUCAGUUUGACUAUGUCUGCUGCUUCUGCAACCGCUGUAGCAGCCUACAUAUCUAGACUAAACUGUACCAGUCUCACCCACGUACCCGUUUGGAGGAGCCCUUCUUCUCUAAGACCACAGCCGUCUCUUACUCGCAUCUUCUUCAAAAUCCCAUGUGGAUUUUCCCAGCAAAGCUCGGUCCUCACUGGAUUCAGACGUCUUUCCCCUGUUAUGCAAUGGCAGGACUGCACGUAAUUUCCAUCUCUCCUUGCUUUGAGAAUAUUGAUUCUUGUUUGUUUAUUUACAACGAUUGUCGGAAAGUAAUUUGUUCUAUUUGGUAAUUCAUGUGGUUAUGAGGAUCUUCAAUGAUUAGUCAGAACCCAUAUCAGCGAAUAUUUACUGAUUCUUUUGUUGCUUCAUCGAGUUACAGUUUAAUAUAUUUUGAUUUGAGGGUCUAGACUUCAUAUAUCUGAUUUUGUUGCAAUCAACUCCUUCAGUGUAGUCUAUUCUUAUAGGUUGCUUCUCAAUCGAUUAGGAAUGCACGAUGGUUUUUAUAUUGUAAGUGCUUAAAUGAUUAAUGACCCGUCUGUGUUUUAUCAUGUUGGUGCUUCUUAUGAUGGUUUAUAUCUCUUACUCAGAAUGUAGUAGUCAAGGUAACCAUAGAUAAUGUUAAUGGAGUUCUUGAAUGAGGUCUAUUCGACUAGCAUGUAUGUUCUACUAAUGUCUAGACAAUGUACUUAAAUGCAGAGUAAAGACGGAAAUUGAUGUGCCUAUUUCAGUUGCAUAUGAUUGUUACUCUGAUCGUGAGGCAAUUCCCCAAUGGAUGCCCUUUAUUUCUACGGUAAAGGUACUAAACAAGUCUCUCAACACUAGUUUGGUGACCUUCAAUUAUAUUGAAAUAAACUUGUGUUUGAUCCAUAAAAUUGUUUAUUUGAAAAACAUAGGUAUUAGAAGACAAGCCUGAUCUAUCACGAUGGUCGCUUAAGUAUAGAGCUUUUGGGCGUGAUAUUGAAUUCUCAUGGCUUGCUCGAAAUAUGCAGGUAAGAACCAUAUACCAUGCUUAAAACUCAAAAUUCUUUGUUUCCCUUUCAUAAUAUGCACACCUAUCAUCAGAACUAAGCGAUUUUUUUUGUGGUUGACAAUACUAAGCAGUUGUAUAAUGUAUUCUAACAAUGCUCUCUUUCAAACUAUGGUUCAAUUAUUUUCAUGCAGCCAACCCGAAAUCAGAAAAUCCACUGGAGAUCUCUGGAAGGUCUUCCUAACAGGUGUGAAGAAGAGAAACAUUAGCUGAACUGUGUACUAGUAGCUAUAGGUCAAGUGUGUGCAUUUAAGUCUUUAUAUGUGCUGAAAAAAAAUGCAUAUUAGAUAUAAUUUGCUUUGCUGUUAUGACAUUAAUGCUAGAGCUUAUGAUAGAACAUCUUAUCGUAUUGAGGUAUUAGGUUAAAAAUUAUUGAAGGGAAUAUGUGAAGUCAGUUACUGGAAACAAAUUCAUAUAAAUUUGUUCUGGUUCAAAGUGCACCAGGAGCUUAAAUGUCCGUACCAUCCCUAACAAGCUCAAUCACCAUAUUGUACUAUUUUAGGUUUAUCUUAUAUAUAAGACUCAGAAAUCACAGGAUGGAGAUAUGUACUUCAGUUUUCAAAGAGUCCGCAACAUUCAUUAUAAAGUAUGUCACAAGAUGAUGUUAUGCCCUUGUUAUUUACGCUAUAACAUGGAAAAUUAUAACACUGAGCGUGAUGUUUCUUAUUAGGUAUAACAUAAACAAUAGACUAAGUUUCUGUGUUUUGUUGAUAUCAGAAUUUUGAUAUACUGAUUUACUUGCAUGGCAGAGGCGCUGUUCGUUUUUAUCCAAAAGGUUCAUCGUCAUGCAUAGUAGAAGUGAGGCUGCUUUCUUCUAUAUUGAAUUUGAAUUGCUCACAAUUAUAUUUAUAUUGUUAUGGAUCUUCUGUAUCCAUCAGUUCCAAUCAAUGACAGAUAGGCAGUGUUUAGUGCAUUCAAUCGGGCAUAUGAAGGCCAUUCAAUUGAUGCUGCUCAGAUCAUUGAUUUUCAGUUUGAUUAUUUGAAAUACAUUUCUAUGCCCCUGGCCAUCAAUUGAACAGCCCGAUGUCUUUUCGUCUAAAGUAACAUCAGUGGUGUCACUGACUUGGUUUUCCUGUUCUGGCCUUUUCUGAGGAAGAACUAGGAAAAAUACACUUCUAUUUCUUAGUCUCUGUCGGGUAGCUCAAAUUGUUUCUUUUUGUUUUUCUCUUUCAGCUAACCGUCUCUUAUGAAGUUCCUGCAAUUUUGGUUCCAGUGGCAUCAGUAAGUACUCUAGCUACAGAUAACAUAUCAGACUCCAUGUAAUGCAAGUUAUAUGACAUAGGAUACUAGCAACCCUCUCUCUAACUCCUAAUGACAUUUAACAAAAAGAAAAAGGAAAAAUAAACUUUAGAUAGAGGGAGAGAGGGAGAGGGCUAAUAUCAAAUAAAUUGACAGUUUGUCAUCAGAAUCAGACUUCUGCAACCGUAGAUUUGUUUGAUAUUCUUACUAAGAUAAUUUUAGAUGAUGAAAUAUUGAAAUGUGCCUUUCUGAUAAUAAUACAUUACUACAGUAGGAAAUGACAAGAAAUGGAGAAUGUCUAAACACUAAAGGAAAUGUACACUUGUUAUGUGGCUUGAUUGCAUCGCAUAAAGAAAUAUAGCAAAUGUUGUUUGUUCGAAGCAGUCCCUCAUUUUGAUUCGUAUGGCAUGUUCCAGGCACUGCAACCUUUUACUGAAAGUUUACUUGCACGCGGCUUGGAAAGGUUUGCAACAUUUGCGAAAAGCUACAAAUCGGACUCAACUGUUUGAUGUUACAUAUGGUAACUGAACUUGUAAACGGGUGAUCAUUUUAAUGUGCAGUGAUUGCCAUAGAUUCAUUUAACAUGGCAAAUUAAUAUUUCCAAUGGAAUCUGAUUUUUCACCAAGGCAAACAAGUGGCUUCAUUUCAUUAAUGAUCUACCAGAGAGCUGCCAUUUUACUGUGUUAUACAUACGACAGAAUAUUAUCAAGAAUACAUCAUUUCUUUUUUCAAUACUCUUGUAGUUCUUGUUGCUCAGAUUGUUGGAUCACCAAAGGCUUAGCCAAAUACUUGAGCUACCAAGGCGUAACCGCAACUGUAGUUGGUCUUAUGCAACACGCUGAAAGAACAUGACUGUUUUUGUAGCGAUAGAUAUGAUCUUUCUAUAAAACGAAAGAACUGAUGAUGGAUGAGUAGUCUGUGCCCCAAAACAGUUUAGAGUUGAGAAAACUAACAGAGUCACUAGCAAGCUCGUCCAGUGCGGAAUACAUGUUGCUGGUUAGGUUAGCCAAGCUUCGAAAAGUAAAUGCCUCUUUGGGGAUGAAAAAAAAAGCUAAAAAGAUCUCAGAUAUUAAUGAUGACAAUGUACAUAGAUACAAAUCAGUGGAUCUACAACAGAUGGACAAUCUAUGGACUGCUGACGAUAAGAAUGCCUCAACAUACGGCUUUUACAACACAACCUGCAUCCGCCUCCCCAUUCUUAUGUAUAUGUACAUCAAAUCCUGAGCUGAGCUCACUGGGCCAGGCGAAGAUGAGAAACUGAAACACCGACAAAACUGGUAGCUGCCAUCUCAUAAAUGAAGCAGCCAAAACAAUGUAUGAACACUCUCUUGACAAGAAGACAUUUAUCAGAGAAGUUGAAUGUGCAAUCAGCCACUGCUGUCCAACAAGUUCCUCAGGCUACAAAGGGCCUCCGCAGAGAGGCUGCAACACCUAUAUCUUCGUUCCCGAGGCGGUGAUAAUGGUUCCCGCUGAUCAAGAGAAGAGAAGCACACAACAAUCACUGUAAGAUUAUCAAACGUGUUGAGGCGAAGAGCCUCCAUGACUAGAUCCUUGGCACACUGCUCUGGGUCAUCAUGCCGCCGCAGCCCACGGCGAACAAGGCUAACUGCAUGCUGACUUGACAUCACAUCCCAGAUCCCAUCACACCCUAUAAUGAGAAACUCAUCUUCCUCUGUUAAAUCCAUCCUUCGGAACUCUGGUUCAGCUAUAAGGGGUGAAGCAGAACCACGAGGAAACUUCAUGUCCCAGUCACCUAAGGCUCGGGAAACUGAUAAGACACCAUUCAGAUACCCAUCAUCAACAUAUCCCCCCAGUUCUUCAACUCUCUUGCGUUCAGAGGGAUAAAUUGGCCUAUGGUCUUGGGACAUAUCAAUUGCCUCUCCCUUCCUGCAGAGAACAGCUCGACAAUCACCAGCAUUGGCUACUAUCAAAAGCCUGAAAAAAAAAAAAAAAAAAAAAAAGGAAAACAAGUUCAAUCACAAGUGGAAGAGAAUUAAAAGUAGAUAAUGGACAUAUAUACAGGAACUAAUGCCACACAGCCCAAGUUGAAUCAAAUGAGAUAUCGACCUCUUCUUCUUGAGAAACUAAUAAAGAAACACUGACAGAGUAAAAUGACAGCAGAUGAUUGUAAGGAUUUGGUUAUUAUCUAAUUACAGACUACGUCAACGAAAUAGUCUUUUCCUUUUGGUACAGUAAGAAGGGAAGUAAGAGAAUUCUAAGCAGAUAUAUACCUUCCAAAGAUCAUAGCAGUUAGUGCUGUUGUCCCAGAUGAACUGCUUACGCUGCAGUCAUCUGCCAAUGCAAGGUCUACCUGAUGAAAUGCGUUACUUAGAGUAGUCUCCAGCUCCUCUAAGAAAAUCUUAUUAACCUCAGAAGCUCGGGGAAAAUUGACAUCAUCAAACAAGAGUCUCAUCACAUUUUUUCGAACAUAAGCUGCUGCUUCAGGUCCUCCAUGUCCAUCAAAUACCUAUACAACAUGUCCAAUUAAAGUAAGCUUCAAAAUCAUGUUUUAUUCAAAAAAAAAAAAAAAGUAAAAGCUUAAAAACUAGAAACCAGAGUAAGUUUAUUACAAUGGCAAACUCAGAAAUAUCAUUACCCCAUAAAAAGCACUUGGGGUGGGAAAACUAAAGAGCGAUCCCAAGUGUGAAGAUAGAUCAUCUAUCAGUAUAUGUUCAUCUUCCAUGUAUCUACGGGGUCCAAUGUCAGCGAAGCUACCAGAACGGAGCCUGGGAAAGAAUUCCUGGUCAGCCGUCUCAUGAGCCAAGUCUGAAACUUUAUCUGCCGGUUUACCAUCCUGAAAAGAAGUAAUAGAAAAAGAUCAAUACAUGUUAGGCACUUUAAACUAGUUAGAUUGCACCCGGAAGCAUUAUUUCUAAUUAGCAGCAGUUCAAACUUCAAGUUCAAUUUUGAUCAAAUCUUAUAACACUGAGGGAAGUAUUAUGCUGACAAUAAUAUUUGGAUUAAGAGUUUAUAAAGCUGAAACAUGAGCCAAAUGCCCAGAUUUCAAGUACUUAAACCUCAGAUACUAUCAUCAACAUUUUGAUGACUACACAGAUUGUUUCUAAUAGAUUGCUCCUUUGCCAAAUAAUAAAAGCACAUAUUCAUCAACACAAUUCUCUUUUUUGGGACCCCAGAAAGCAAAUGAUCCAACAGAGUUUCAACUGAAAACUAUCAGGGUCGACAUAAUGAUGACUAAACACAACAUCAUUCUUAUUUUCACCUAACCCUUUUUGAGUGAUGCAAUCAUAUUUUAUUACAUCUACCCGAAUCAUUGACAAGGUACCUGACAAAGAAUCAAAUUAACCUUUACCUUGUAAAAACUAUCUUUGCAUUGGUAAGAACGAUUAUCAUGUCUAUUAAUUUGUUACUUUUCUAUCUGUAAUUGAACUGAUCCAAGACUCUUUUUUAUCUUAAACCAAGUCAGCAAUCCAAAACAACCCAGGCCUACUGUUAAGCAAAACAUCAAACCCAGAUAGUAACUAACUAACCCAGAUAGGAGAUCAAAUAAUCACAAAAGAAGACAACUAUUGAAGAUCAGAAAUUAUAAAACUCACAGGUUGGGCAGCAGGGGAAACCGACUCCAGAGGGCGAGUUGGGUCAAACAAAGUCUUCGGAGAAAUCGAUGCAACUACAUCUUCAACAACCUCAUGAACGUUCAUCCCUUUACCAAACACCUCAACGUUCUGCUGACACAUGAUCUUAGUUUCUGCCACCAUUUUCACUCACAAACAUACCACAAACUAAUCCCACUACACAAUUUCUCAAACUUGAACAACUCGAACAACACAACUUUUACCGACGACCAGGUGAUUCGUAUAUUUGUCUCGCGGCUUCUAGAGAGGAGUUGGAUGAAAUGGGUUGAAAAAUUUGGAGGAGUUUGGGUUGAGCUCGCUUUUAUAUGAAACAAAAGGUGACCGGGUACCGGUGGCGUUGUUAGGUCCGGGUACACGUGUCGGCUUUCUGAGGCUUACUGUUGAGUGCACAUGUUGAGGGGUGACUUGGCAUGUUUGCGGACGCGUGACCCUUUGGACCAUUUCCACGUAAUUACAAAAACGCCCUUCCUCUUGUUUCCUCGACCUUCCUGGAAGGUGAGUGAGUUGUCCAACUAGUCGGGUUGACUUUUUGUACGGUGGGAAUCGGGAUAUUUGAGGGGUAAUCUGGACAAUGUGUGGGACAGAGUUGUGAUCUCGGCGUUCACGCUGACGGGUUGGUGACGAGAGCAAUGAGAGACAGUUAGGAGUAGAAGGACGUGAAUGCCCCUCGUUGGAGUAACAUGCGUAGCUUCUUGAAAUCGAACUUGUAAAACGCGCACGAGUAACGUUGCGCGGCAAAGUCAACACGGUAAUUUGGACGCGUCAACGGUCUCUAGUCAAAAGGGUAACUCGUCCUUGCAAAGGUACAACUUAUCCACACAUUUGUUUGUGCAUACGUGAACCUAGGCCGACAAUCGAUUAUUCAUACGCGGCAAGAUAAUCGAUUAUCCAUUUCAGAAUUAUAAGAGAAUCUUUAGAUUUAGAUUAUCUAAAGCAUGCAUUUGUUUUACAAUCUUAGCUUAGCAUGUUUUGCACCUUAGAGGAGCCAGAUUCGAUAAUUUGAUUAUCAACCUGCAAAUGGUAGAUAAGAUGCAGAUGAUUGACUCAUUAGCAGAUACACUUUGGGACAAACCAUUACCCACACCAAACUUUGGGGCAGACAUACUUUUCAUUACUAUAUAGAGAUGAGUUAUUGAGUUUAUCUGGAAGACUCAAUUUGGCAAGUGAUGGACGCAAGUAGAAUAUAGUAAUAGGACACGAUAUAGUUCACCUUCCGCCGUGGUCCUAGCUAAUUAUAUAUGCUUUUAAGGUAAAAUUUUGUGUUUAUCAAUUGGCAAGUAGUAAAUUCCUUUACGUAGGUUGACCCAAAAAGACCUUGCAUGAUUGCCUCGUGCCUUAAAUAGAAGUAAUCAUUAGCAUCACGGGAAGGAGUAGGACUAUCUAGUCCUAUCAUAUAUUAAUCAGGAUCCUUGUACAGCUGGUUUGAUUCUACUGGAAGUUUAUGAUUUACGUUCUAAAUUCUUAUCCAGGUGAUCUAAACUGGUCUGGUUCGGUUAGGUACUUAUGUCCAAUUAUUUGUGCCCUUAGUUUCAGCUGUCAAGAUAAUUAGCUAGGUAGCGUUUGGAACCUGGUGCUAGCUAACUCGAAUUACUAUAUCCAAAUCUCUACCAUCAAAACAAAAAAGUUCUUUCCUAAUAUAUAGUCGAUUAGGUCCAGGGCUGCAGAAUGCAGACACAUAUGAUAUGAAUCUGUUUUAAAUUUAGGGUAAAGUGGGUUUGGUGGUCCGACUGCUCGAUCAAUUAGUCACUAACCAUACGUAUAUAUGGUUCGAAAUAAAAUUCAAUAUGAUGACGACUAAGACUCGGUAAUUGCUAAAUUAAUCUGAGCCCUAUCCUAGCUCCGUCCAAACUCCAAAGAUUAACUGGUGGCGGAUUCCCUGGCCCUAAACUUGCUUUGUUGAUUGUUAUUGUCAUUCAUUGUGUAGUGUAGCUAGGGUUCAUGCGUGGUUGGCCUAGGCGCCUAGCCGAUGUUCGAGAAGAAUAAGAUUCUUUGUUAUGAAAGAUUGCAGAUACAUAAUAUGAGUGUGACGUCUAGCUACGGUCUCUCCCUCGUUCACAACCCAAUUGCAGUCGGGAUGUUUAUCCUUUUUUUUUUUUGAUCAAAUAAGAUGCAUUCAUACGGAAGAUGUUACAAGUGGUAUGAAUAAUACAAGUAGGGCCACUAAUAGACCAUUUAUAACAAAUCUCAGACCGAGAGGCCUGAAAAAUGAUUUCCUAAAAGAGCUCCUAAAUCUCCGGUACACCACGAGACAAGAAAAUGAUCAUUAAUACCAGAAGACUCGUCCGACAAAUUGCCAACAAAGUUGGUAAGAAAGCGUCAGCAUCCCAACGGGUAGCGGCUCUAACCCCAUGAAGGACAAAUGCUCGAGUCAACUCCGCCUCCUGAUUAGUGAAUACACGUGAUAAUUGCGGGUGUAAACCGUCAUCACUAUAUCAGCGGUGUAUUGUAAUCAGCCCAAGCACGACCACAAAGGAUCAAAAUUAUUCAAACACAGAAAAACUUAACAAGCAGACACAAUAAGCAAAUAAACUAGAGAGAUACAGAAAACCUCAUGGGUCAACGAGACCAGACCCAAAGCUGGAAAGGCCCAAAAGCCCCAUCCGAGGCCCAGUCCAAGCUAGCCUUGGCCCAGACCCAAGAGCACCCCAACUUCUGCUACCAUCAGCGACCCCCAAAGCCGACCCUCAACGCCUCUGCCCUACUAUCGUCAGUUGAUAAUCUAGGCCAACACCCACCGGCCUACCUCGUCGCUACCGUCGAAGCAUCCUUUUUUAGAUCGGCAACCCACCUCACCUUGCUUCAACCAACCCCUAGGACAUUUCACCAAAGACAUCAGAUCACCAUAGAUCCUCACCACAAUCAGCUACAUGCCCAGACUAGCCCGAUCUGAACAAGAGAACUGUAAUAUCCCGGAAUUUUGGUUUUCUAUUUUUAAAAAGAAAAUUAUUUUGGGCCAAUUACAUAGAAGUCCACUUUCACACAUUUUCUUCCACAUAAAUCCACCCAAACAUUUUUACUCAUAUAAGUCCACCUAAGCCUAAAUAAGGUUUUAUAUUAGGUAUAGAGGUUGAACAAAAUUACAGACUGUCAUCUAAAAAAAAAAAUUAGAUUCUCCCCUUUAUAUUUACAAGAAUGCCACUAGUAUAUAAAGUCAACAACCACUCUCAUAUCAGAAAAGUCUCCAGCCGACGUCCGGCGAGGUUUCCGACAGACCUCCGACGAGGUUUCCGACGAUGACAAAAAUUACUACUACCAGUUACAAAAGCUACUACCACCAGCUAUAAAAGCUACUACCACCGCCUACAAAAGCUACUACCACCAGCCACAAAAGCUACUACCACCGCCUACAAAAGCUACUACUGUGAGGUUUCCGACGAACACAACAACUACUACCACCAACCACAAAAUCUACUACCACCAGCUACAAAAGCUACUACCACCGCCUACAAAAGCUACUACUGUGAGGUUUUCGACGAACACAAAAGCUACUACCACCAGCCACAAAAGCUACUACCACUGUCGACAAAAGCUACUACUGUGAGGUUUCUGACGAACACAAAAACUACUACCACUAGCCACAAAAACUACUACCACCAACUACAAAAGCUACUACCACCGCCUACCGUCAACGUGUGAAAAAAAUACUAUCACAGUGUGAAAAAUAUACUAUCACCGUGUCGAAAAUAUACUAUUACUAUGUUGAAAAUGUAUUAUUCUACAAUGAUGCUGAUACAUAGUUACAGAUCUCAAUUUCAUUCGUCUCAUACACUAUCAGAACACGAUUUCGUGAUUUCUCUUCCAGUAAAUUUCUAUUGAAUUACAAAUUCCAAACGAAGAGCGACAUUAAUACAGAACAACAGCCUAAUCUUUGUUUACAAAUUCUCAAAACAAACAAACAACUCCAACCAAAUUACAAUCGCAUCUUACCAGAAAUGUCACCUCCAAAGGAAGAUCUGGAUCUUCAAGCCGCCUUUAGAUCUGGUACUUCUUGNNNNNNNNNNNNNNNNNNNNGAGAGAGAGAGAGAUUUCAAUGGGAAAAAGAGAAACUGAUUUUUGGUAGAGAGAGGGGAGGGUAUUUUGGGUAUGGUGUAAAAGUAAUAUGACAAAUCUGACCCAUAAAAUGGACUUAUAUAGGUAAAAAAGUUAAAGUGGCCUUAUGAAGAAAAAAAUGUUGAAAAACUGACUUUAAUGAAAUUUUCUAUUGGUAUUAUCCAAAUUUUUAUUAAAAUAGAAUUUUGUAGCGGCUAGAUCUGGACUGUUGGAGUUUAAACCGCAAGAUCUUGAUUGUUCAUUUGAGAUUAUAUUUGGGAACGGAUAAAGCGGUAGAACAGAAGACAAAACCCAGACCGACUUCGGUCUCGAGUUGCUCUGCAGCGACGGAGCUCAGCUCCCUCCUCCGUCGUCCGGCCGCCUCCCGGUGCAAGGCUGGUAUCCACAGGUCCGUCUCGUUGUCCCCGUCCUCAAGAUGAUCUUCGUUUUCGAUGGGAAGCUCCGGUGAGAGAGAAAAGGAGGAGAAGAAUUUCUAGGUUUCCGAUCGAGUUCGUGACUCCGGCCACGGCGGCGAGCGUGACCGGUAUUGGUAGCUUCGACUCGUCCUCCCCAUCCUCCCUGCGGUCUCUAUUUCGUCAAAGGAGCGUCGAUGAGAGAGAAUUGAGCAGAGGAAUGUUUUAGGUUUUAGGCCGUGUUCUUGAUGUUUUCCGGCCACCGGCGAAGGCAAGCGAGGUAUCAAUCUUCAUCUAAUCGUCGAGCUUUACAUGUUUCUAUAAUUGAAAUUGAGUUUGGAUUAAGUUUGGAAGAAUUUGGGUAUUGGGGCAGUGUUGUGGUGGCUGUUGUUCAUAACGGCAGUGGUGGAGGAGUUGUCCAAUUGCUUGUUAUCUUGUGAAGUUUAUAUUGAUGCUCUCUAAAUAGGUUGGCUUUGUUAAGCUUGAUUUUAUAUUGUCGAGAGUUGGAUUAUCAUAACGAAGAACUGGUGUUGCUCGAGAGUUAGGAAGAAUAAUUGCUGCUAUUUUGGCUAUUAUUAAUAGAUGUUGUUUUGGCUAUUAUUGAGGUGUGCCUUACGAAAUGAAUGGAAUUAGGAGCUUUGUUUUUCAAGAUAGAGGAGCUGAGUCAUGUGGAAGUGCAAUUAUAGGACAAAUUGAGAAGGCUGUUGUGUUUGUGAUGGUUACUGUGCUUGGAGUCCACAAUGGUGGUGAUCGUGAUCAUACUUGAAGAUAUGGAGAAUUGGAUUUACUUUAUUGUCAAGGGAAGUUGGUAAUUAUAGAUUUUGGUCAAGAACUUUUCUAUGGUGAGCAGUGAUGGUCUUAAAGUUUAUUUGGCAAUCCGGCUAGAGCAUGAGAAUAUGUAAUUUGGUUGAGAGUAACAUUGGGUGUCCUUGGUAGUUUUCAAGGACUUGAUCACAUUGAUUUGAAGUGAUCCGCCGACUUUCUCGGAAAGAGGAUUUGAUACGAGGAUCGAGUGCGAGUUGCAAGAUUCCAGAAGCAGAAGGAUAAGGAUUUCAGAAGCGUGUUGCAAUGUUACUAAUUUUAAUUGGCGUCGAAGCUAGCGCUUGGAUUUCAGGUAGGGUCUUUCUCGGGGAACCUUUAUUUAAAUUGAUAAUUAGAUUAUUAAUGAAAUUGUUGGUUUGUGUGGCAUUGAUUGAUAACUCUUGAUUGUUGAUUGUUAUUGUUUUCCUUAAAAGCAUGUGUAAUCGUUGAUUUAUAUGAUUGAUGUUAUUGCUUUCCUUAAAAACAUGUGUUUGAUAUUAUUAUAUUACGCGUAUCGAUACUUGAUUGCAUACAUAAUGCAUUGUGAGGAAUUGUGAGGAUAAUGAGAUUAGUGAUUAUGGAGAGAAGUGAAUGAGAUCGAUAGAAUAGAUACAUUUUGUGUAGUUGAGUUUCCUCAUGGGGACUUCCAGUAGCUAUGAUCAGCCCACUUGCGCAAAUGAGUUGGGAAAGUAUGCCCUUUCGACGUAUGAGUCGAUAAAACAAUCUUUCGGGUUUCGGGACUGUGGACCAUGAAGGUUAACAAAAGACUAACAAAAGAGAUACUAGAGUUUAUAUAUUACUGAUUUGUUAGGUCGUAUAUUCGAGACAAUCUACACGGUAUGAGACGUGUAGGUACAUUUGUCUUGGGUGUAUGGACUAAUUAGCCAGUAAUAGAGUGGAGAGAGUGCAUUAGCAUUUAUGCAUCAUUUUUGUCGUUAUUUAUUUAAAGUAUUGUUGGAUGCUUGAUAACUUGGUUGUUUAACAUAGUUAAGUAUAACCUAAAGAGGUUUGGCCCUACUGAGCGUAAGCUCACCUCUAUAGAUUUUUGUUCAGGUGUACGAGUACGACACGUAUUUCUAGAAGACUAACUGUGAAGUUAGCUUACGUGUACAAAAGUCGAGAAGUACGGAAGAUUAGAAGUGAGCUAGACCUUAAGACUUAUUUUGUUUUUGUAAUUAGUUUUGUUAUUUGUAAACGUUUUAUUUUCUUUUAUUUUUACAAUUUCUAGAAAAGUAUUUGAAAUUGUUUUAGUUUCUUUUACUUUUCCCGCUCAAGUCUCGGGUUUGGCGUCAGGUGCUUGGAAACCACCGACACCGGGUUCGAGGUGUGACAAGAACACUAGAUCGAGGCACACAACCCCCUAACAUCUACCUCUCCACCAACACUGCAUUUAGAUCUCCAUUGCUUCCCAAUCAAAACGGAACUGCAACUGACACUUCCAUUCACUUCCUAGCCAAACCAGACACCAAGCCAAGAUGGUAGAAAGAGGCUAGGGCAAACAAAAGCAUCUGCCGGCGUUCUUGCCGUUGCGUCUCGGCUGGGAGAAGAGCAACUCUCUCUCUAGCUUUUUCUUUUUGCUGGCUCGUUCUAGGCGCGUGGAAGAAGAAGAGGGAUGUUCCUCUCGGUGUUAGGAUGUUAUCCUGAAUGACCUUACCUGGUGCAAAGGCACCUUGGUUCUUCAAAAUGUAUUUUUUUAAAAGUGGUCUUAAGCGCUUAACUAUGAUUUUUUGUGAUAAUUUUGUAGGUGACAUUACACAGACUAAUUGGCCUAAAUCGAGAAACAAACUUCUCAAUCUUAGGGAUUAAGAGCAUCUCUAACAACUUUCCCAUUUUCUUGAUUUUAUCAAUUUUAGAGAAUAUUGGGUUGUUUUGUGGUCCAAUUUCCUCAUCUCAUUCCCUAAAAUGGGGAUGGAGAAGAAAGAAAAGCACUUCUUCCCCAAAUUUGUAGCAAAGCCUUUUUUCCCCAAAUAUUAAUUAUUUACGUGUUCCAACGAUAAGAACAAAAAUCUAGAAUAUUUUAUUGUGUAAUUUAUGUUAAAAUAAAAUAUAUGAUUUUUUUUUUGUUAUUAUUAAUAAUCAUGUAACAUAUUUUAUUGUUGUAAUAAAUGCUGAAAUCUCUAAAAUGGAGAAGCUGUUGGAGUUGGAGCAUAAUUUUUUUAGAGAUUUUGGCUUUUGUUUUCCUAUUUUAGAGAAAUUUUAAGGAAGCUGUUGGAGAUGCUCUAAGGCAAUAUUAGUAUGGUUGAUAUCAUUUAAAGGGAAGUUUUUUGAGAAAAAAAUAUUUAAUCCAAGAUAUAGUCUUGGUCAUUACAAAUUUCAUUACUCAUUGAGUGGUACCGGUAGCAAUAACAAGUCUUAUACAAACGGAAGGAUUCGUUUAUCUCAAAGUCCAUUACUUUGUACAUGGUAAUGAAUCCAGAGAUAUACCAGUUUCACAAAAAACAGAUGCUACUGACACUGAAGCUGUAAAUUCAUAGUCCUAUACUAUGUCGGAGUUGUUGGAAUUGUCGUGAAUAGCUGACGUUUAAUGUUACUUUCGUGUCCUAAAACAUAUAGGGUAUGUUUGUUUGUUUCAAGGGACUAUCUAACCUAGGCAUAUUUUCUUCAUUAGUCAUGCACUCCAUAAGCUUGCCUUAUGCUAUAGAUGCCUUAACCCAUGUUUGGUACCAGAUCACUAUAAUUAAAACCAACACCAUCGACAACACCAACCUGCAAAAUCUUCACCAUCUCGGGUCAUCAAUUUCAUACAUCAAUCAUCUUCUUUAUGCUCAAUUCAUGUAUGACUUCUCUUGUCCCCCAUAAUAUAUAUGAACAAGAUAGAAUAAGAUCUAGUGUUAUCCAUCAAUUCAAUUUCUUGUUUUGCUGCUACUGCUGCAACUAAUAAUCAAUUCAGACGAAGACAAGUUGAAGAAGAAUUGUCGACGAGAUAUUUUUCAAUCAAUUGGACAAUAAUUGGUGGUUUACAUGGUUCUGCGACCUACGAUCCGUUCUUCAAUCUUGACCCAAAAACCCUGCAAAUCAGCGAUAAUCCGUAGAUAUCACGUAGUCUCUCGGUCUCUCCUAUGCUUGAUAGAAAACCCAAACGGUGACAACGAAAAGACCAAACACUCAAAAAGAAAGUAACUCAAACACUAGCGUCGUUUGUUUGUACUGUACCUACUUGUUCUGUGACUUGUGUUUUCUGUCUCGCCUCUCUACCUUUUCUUUUCGAUAUACACUCGAUCUCUCUGCGACCCACAACCGAUUUCAAAUGGCUGGAGCAACUUCGACUACCUACUUGUCGUCCCCUACAACCCGGAAAUUAAUUCAAGUCACUCAUAUUCCAAAACGGCGACGUCGAUUGGGUGCGAACCGAUGGCCAUGCAUGAUUUCCACCAAUGCAGACCUGCCUGUAACCCUUCCCCUCUCUCUCUCUCUCUCUCAAAGUUCCUUUAUUCUUUGUUUCUACAUUUAGUUUGGCACUCUUGAUUUAUGGCUAGCUAUUGUUUUGAAUUCAGAGAACUGAGCUUUAUGGGUUUAGUUUGGUUUGAACUGCAUCGUUUUGUUUACGUCUUUCUUACGUACAAUGUACUGCUCUAUGACAUUUAGCUCUUACUGGGUUGCUUUCUUAAAAUAUACUGUUUUUCUAUACUAGCUAACAUUGGUUGUUGAGUGUGCUUUUGCCUUGAACAUUAUUGGGGUUCAAAGUUUUUCCCUGUUUGAUUGUUGAUGGUAGGUUGUUAGAUGUCCUUUACUAAACACGAAACAAGUGUACUUCUUACGGAUGUUUUGUUAUGAAGUUUUUUGCUAUGAGAAUAUGUGAUAGAAAGAGAGAUAAUAGCACUACGUGUUUGCAAUUGUAUGGUUUGAGUAUGAAAAUAUGGUGAAAAUCCUUGUUAAUAAACCUGAAUUGGAUAGUUAUAAGCUUGACUACAUUUGAAAUAGGCGUUCCUAGUGAAUUUCUAUAGGUUCUUCGUUCUCGUGACCUCUUUACAGAAAUGUGCUCAUGGACCUUGUUUAUAUUGUCUUAUCCCUUCUAACUAGAGUUUGUAUCUAUACUCGUAAGAAGGUAUGUGUUUAGAAACGGACUCUUUUUUGAAACUCAAGGGAAUUUUACAAAUCCCUGUUCUCUUCUGUAAAUGGAUUACUGUAAACUAAAAUUUGCUCAAUUUCUAUGUCGUUGUGUGGUUACAUUAUUACGCACUUAAAGAAAUUCAAGUUUGUUGGUAAUUUAUAGUUUUCAAGAUUGGUGUUGUAAAUGCUGUUGCCCGGUCUGCGUAUGCAGAUCGAAUUCGGAAAUACCAAGGUCAUUGUUUCUGUGUGGGUAUAUCUUUUAGAUCCAUACUUUUACUGACUCAUCAAUUCAUAAUCGUGAUCAAUAAAUUUCAUAAUCCGUUGAGUUGCCUUUCCGCUGUUUUUACUUUUGAACUUUAGAUUGAUCCCUCAUGGCUCAUGCAAAUAUGAGAUGUAUUUAAACUUUACUUUUGGUUUGUUUAGAUUUGAGCCAAGAGAGAGUAAGAAGGCAAUGUUGUACAGUGAUAUACUGAUAUAGGCCGGUUGAAUUCUAAUGUGACUUGUACAACUUUGGAAAGGUAUAUGAUUGUGUUAAUGCAUCUUAUGAUAAUUUUUUGUUAGUCUUCUUUCCCAGUGACAACGAUGUGACUAAUGUUUGGACCGUGUUGUUUUAGGGGUCAAACCACAAAGAGUUUUCUUCACUGCUUCAUAUAGCUUUAGAGGGUGCAAUUUUGCUGGAAACUUUCCCCAAGACUACUGUGGAUGUCUUUGCAUUGGUGUUUGAAUCUGAAGGCAGUAAGCUUUUCAACUUAAAUUUUGUUUAAUUUAUUUUACGUUGAUAAGAAUGAUGAAAAAGAAAAUGACAAGAGAAGAGAAGAGAGUUUAAAUUGAUUUUCUUCAUUGUACGAGAAUAGUAGAAUACUACACUAGCAAGAUAUUUAUAUUGCUCGAAACUGAAUACUGGCGAUGUUGCCUUUUUAUUUUUAUUUUUUUUAUUUAUAACUUUUUUUAUUAUAAACUCACGCACCCUACAUACGUCGGUGAGGUUUGAAUCUAUGACCUCAACAUUGUUGGUUAGCCUACCUAACCAACCAAGCCACAGCUUACCGACCUGGCGACGUUGCCUUUGAGUAUACGAAUCUUACUUUGACUCAAGUUUGGUUUACGGUUUACCAAGAUUUUGUUGUUAGGGAAAGUUUAUGCGUUUGGAAAUUAUCUCAUUGCUAACUAGCGCUGUUACGUUAAAUGAAUUGAAGAGCUUUAUAUUUGUUAGAGUUAGUGGUGUUAAAGUUGUAACUAUAUAGAAAAGUCAUCUGUACGAAUCUGUUGAUACCCAAAAAAUCAAUAUUUAUGCUCAAUAGAUAUUCCAAGCUCAAUAAAGAAAUACGCAUGAAAAUCACAUUCGAAAUAAAAAAAAUUAUAUAUUUAUUCGAAUAUUCAUGCCACGCACGGGGACUCAAGCCACAACCACGUUUUUGGGGCUUACAAAUUUAGGUGUGGUGUGGAAGGUAACAGAAGUACACGAAGUCCAUUAUAGAUGUUACAUCAUUGGCGGUUUUGGACUUGGGACCGAAACCCAGGCCUAAUAAUGUAAAUAUUUAUAUGGGCAUGCAAAAAAGAGAGAAUCCUUAAUGCAGUAGAUUACACCGCAACAGACCUUUAGCCGCAGCAAGCCUCUCAUCUUUUGCAACUCAUGUGCUUCCAGCUCCCACGCUUUAUGCCUUCUUGCAAGCUCUUUCAUGUAUUUUGUUUAUUUGUCAUGUUAUCAAAAUCACGCCAAGUUACUGCCAAUAUAUCACAAGAAGCAUGCCACUGCAGCAAGUUACUGCAGGGAGACCGGGGAAAACACGCACAAACCUCCUAGAAGCUUUGGGCCCAGUUCUUGAACUUAGAGGGGUAAAUAGAGGAGAUCAAUCUAAUCUAUCAAUCCUAGCGGUCUCGGUUCAAAAUGACCCCAACAAAAUCGUACUAAAUCAGGAAGUGAUUGGGGAAUUGAAGCCAAAUACAAGGACAAUAUCAAUGUUAUAGAAUCAUUGUUGCAAUUGUGCCAUUCACUGUGUCAUUUUUUGUACCACAUAGUCCCUACAACAAUUCUAGUGAAUGUAAGAAUGAUAUUGGUAUUAUGAAGGCUGAUGGGCUAUGUCAUUUUGCUUGCAGGUGAUCUUCCUGUGGUGAUAUCAUGUGCUAGUCUUGCACUAAAGCAGAUGCAGGGAUCAUGAUGUAUGACCUUGUUGCUUCAGUAUCUGUGGUAUGUAUCUGGGUAGACAUCUGGCCCUUUCAACUUCCUCAUAAUUAAGCAAAAAACAAUAUGUUGUUGCUGACUGUCCUAUUGUAUUUCUUUGUAUAGGAUUAAGAAUUUGAACUUGAGCACAUAUGAAAUAAUGGAAGUGUGAUGGCUGAUUGUCGUAUUAUUUUAUUUUUCUUUGUUUUUUGUUCGGUUAUUCAGUUAAAUACCAUUAUACAAAACUUUUGUUAAGCUGUAUCCUUUCUGUUUCAUCCGAUUAGCUAGUACUGUAAAUUACUUUUGUUAAGCUAUAUCCCUUUUGUUUCAUCCGUUAUAUAGAAUUAUAUCCACUGAAAUACCUUCAUUUUUAUGAAACAAUGUAUUGUAUUCGAUGAGAACAGAAGAGAGAAAAGAAGAGCAUUAGGUAUGCAUCAAGCUCUUCUCUGAGCAUUUGUUUGGUUACACAAAAUUUUCACUGUCGGAUACAUUUCGCAAAAAUCUUCCUAGUCUCCACUUGCCUUCUAGAUCCCUUCCCUGCCGAGAUUUCCCUUCACCGCAUAGAUUUCCCUUCGUCAUUGCGCUCUUAAUCAGAGCCUACACUACCAGGACAAGCACUUUAGCCGACGAAAAAUUUUCGUCGGCUUGUUAGCUUAAUUCGUCGGCUAAGAUUUCGUCGGGAAAAGGUCGUCUGUGACGACUUUAGCCGACGAAAAAAAAUUUUCGUCGGCUAUAGUCCCGCAGUUUAUCCGACGAAAAACAUGUCGUCGGUUUUUUUCCCAGACUUUAGCCGACGAAACAAUUAAGAUAUUCGUCGGCUAAAGUUUGUAAAAAAANNNNNNNNNNNNNNNNNNNNUUUUUGGAGCUCGAUUUUAUCUCUCACGGCGGCGUCACUCGAUGCACCACCUGUCCAGCAAUGAAGUAGAGACGACGGCGAAGCUUUUGGGACAAGUGUGGCGGUCUCCGGUGGCUUGACGGCGGAGCUAGGCCGAGAAAAAAAUCUAGUAGGCGAAAUAGACUUCUUACCAUCCAUCUUCGGUAAAACUCCUAUAUAAAGAACUUUAGCCGACGAAAUUCUUUAUUUUCGUCGGCUAAACUCUUUUGAAACUUUUGAAAAUUUUGAAAAUUUUGGUUGACCGCCAAAAAAUUUUGAAAAUUUUUCAACUUUAGCCGACGACUUUUCAUAUAUUUUCGUCGGCUAAAGUCCUUUGAAAAUUUUCCUCCAAAUUUGGUUUACCGCCCAAAAUUUUUUGACCUUAGCUGACGACUUUUUUAAUAUCUCGUCGGCUAAAGUCUAUAAAUUCACAAAAACGCUCAUAUCUCCCUCUAUAUUACGUAGUUUGGUCAAACCUUCCACACGAAAAACUUUCACAUAGAUGAGACGCACCGCCUAUAUAAAAAUUUUGAGACAUUUGUCUUCCGACGAUAGGGCUCCCCAUAGGGAAUAAUAACGGUAAAUAGGGUUGACCGCUACUAUCGGCACCGAGAUUUUACCCGAUUUACGUGAUUUUUGAACCAUAGCCGUAUUUCACCAUUCUGAACACAUCUUAUUUCACGAGAUUUUUGAUAAUUUUGCUUCCUAUACAGAGUUGGUUCACAAAGUUGUAUAACCAACUAAACAAGUUAUACAACAUUAGUAGACACGUUGUGAUUCCGAUGACUAAAAUUCACAAACCAAAAUUCGACCGUCAGAUAUGAUCAUUAUGACGAAAGAUGUUUAUGGUAAAAAAUUUAACUGGAUCCGACAACGUUAAGGACUCGAUCGAAACGGUUAACCCUAAUCCAUCGUCACUUAUCACACGAAAACGCUCAUAUCUCCCUCUAUAUUACGUGGUUUGGUCAAACCUUCCACACAAAAAGCUCUCACGUAGAUGAGGCGCAACUGCCCAUAUAAAAAUUUUGAGACAUUUACCUUCCGACGAUAGGGCUCCCCAUAGGGAAUAAUAACGGUAAAUAGUAGACACGUGAUUCGGAUGACUAAAAUUUACAAACCAAAAUUCGACUGUCCGAUAUGAUCAUUAUGACGAAAGAUGUCUAUGGUAAAAAAUUCAACUGGAUUCGACAACGUUAAGGGCUCGAUCGAAACGGUCAACUCUAAUCGGAAAUUAGAAAACUGCAUUUUGAAGCCCUAAACGGACUCGGAUGGCCAAAAAGGCCCAUACAUCAUGGCGUUAGAAAUGAGUUUGACUCGUAGGGCCGUUACGCUUCCGGUAAGGUAUCACAAUAGUCAAUCGGACACCAAAAACCAAAUCUGCAGCAUAAUGAAUAAUAAGAGUAAAUUACAUUGACCGCAACUAUCGGCACCGAGACUUUACCGGAAUACUGUGAUUUUUCAACUGUAGACGUAUUUCACCAUUCUGGUCAUAUCUUAUUUCACGACUUUUUUGUGUUUGAAGGUUUUACGUAUAGUUUUUUUUUUCCAGAUGAGUUGUUGUCCAGAUCUGUAAAUAUAAGGCACUUUAGCAGAUGAAAUUAAGGCACUUUAGUCGACGAAAUUAUAUUUUUCGUCGGCUAAACUUUUAAAAAUUUAGUCGGCUAAAGUUCACAGACUAUAGUCGACGAAAAAAAUUAUUCAGACGACGAAAUUUUAAUUUUGUUGGCUAAAGUUGACCAUAGCCGACGAAAAUUUUUAAUUAGCCGACGAAGGGAAAUUUCGUCGGCUAAAGUCUACUUUAGCCGACGAAAAAAUAAUUCGUCGACCUGGUUUUUUUAUUUUCGUCGGCUAAAGUCUUUCUUCUGGUAGUGCUAGGUUUUGUGCUCUAAAUAUGAAACAAAAUUGAGAGAGAGAGAGAGAGAGAGAGAGAGAGAGAGAGAGAGAGAGAGAGAUCACAUUUGUUUGAAAUUUCUGAUAUUUGUAAGAGUACUUCUUUCAUUAGGUUUUGGACGAGCUGACGGCUCGUGACUAUUAGUUGGCCGUAUAUGCUACGAAAAUUGUCUUACUAGUGGUAAAAACACCUAAUAAAAAAAGUCCUUAAAAAUUAAAAAGAAACUUAUUUAAAAAUUUAGACCCUCAUAAUUGCAAACCACACAUAGAUGUGAACUUGUGCGAUUAAUCCAUCAUCACAAUCAUGUAAUCUUUGAUAAAAGCAGUCUUCUAAUCCUUAUGUUUCGGUCAGCUGCCUAUGCUUAUGAUUGAUGAGUUGGACAGAGCCUUAGACAAAUUAACAUUAGUGAAAAGCCAUUGCACGUAUGUGUGUACAAAUUAAAACUAAAAGAUCGAUAUACUUGAAUACUCUCAAGAAUCGAAAACGUAAAAUGCAAUAGAAAUG
RNAcentral lists this long non-coding RNA (33366 nucleotides) under Fragaria vesca (wild strawberry). RNAcentral describes it as "long non-coding RNA (FVES_LNC000308)". Lineage: Eukaryota; Viridiplantae; Streptophyta; Magnoliopsida; Rosales; Rosaceae. The record is from RNAcentral.